GGAAGUAAAGUCGUAACAAGGUUUCCGUAGGUGAACCUGCGGAAGGAUCAUUGUCACACAUCCUAAUGGAUGCUUGUGCCAACAAGCAGAUCCAGCGAACCAUUCUCCUAUCACUUGAGGGGCUGCAUCGCGAGGUGCAGCUGUCGGCGGUCGGGCCCUUGCUUCAGGGGCCGGAGUCCUUGCUGGGUUCACCGUUGCGGGUGAGCACCGGCCGUCCGACGGGGGCCGCUCUUGGGCCUCGCACACGGGAGAGUGCGGGGGCGGCGUUUCCCACUCCAGCUGUCCCAUCCGGG
Molecule: unclassified non-coding RNA, 293 nt
Filed under: plant metagenome
Description: partial contains small subunit ribosomal RNA and internal transcribed spacer 1
Rfam family: Eukaryotic small subunit ribosomal RNA (bases 1-53)
Source: RNAcentral